AGAUCCCGUCUUGGUGCCUUUCUCUGGGAGUCUUUUCAAUGAACUGUUUGCAGUCUUCUUUAGGUUAACCUGCAAAAAGAGUCAGGAGGGCAAGAACCGUAGCACCGAAAUAAAUACCUCAAUGUGUGGCGUUUCUCCCAGCUGCAAGCUAUUGAAGAUGGCUGCAUAGUCGCCGUUCAGAUUCAUCAAGUCUUCAUGGCUACCCCUCUCAGUGAUGCAACCUUCCUUCAUGAAAAUCACCUCAUCGCAAUCCACAAGAUACUAAUAAAAAAGAAGAGGAACACUCAUGGUUGAAACCCAAUGAGGUUGAUUAAAUUAAGAGUUACUCUGGACACUCUCAGCGUACCUGGAGCUGGUGUGUGAUGAA
Pantherophis guttatus is the source of this 367-nucleotide long non-coding RNA. RefSeq lists it as uncharacterized. The record is from RefSeq and is a predicted model, not a curated record. Lineage: Eukaryota; Metazoa; Chordata; Lepidosauria; Squamata; Colubridae.